This 402-nucleotide ribosomal RNA is filed under the name uncultured bacterium. RNAcentral describes it as "bacterial SSU rRNA". It matches the Rfam family "Bacterial small subunit ribosomal RNA", at positions 28 to 417 of the family's 1533-position model. The record is from RNAcentral.
GACGAACGCUGGCGGCGUACUUAACACAUGCAAGUCGAGCGGUAAGGCCCUUUCGGGGGUACGACGAGCGGCGAACGGGUAGGAGUAACAACGUGGGUGGACCUCGCCCUCCAGCUCUGGGGAGUAAGCCUCGGGAAACCGGGGUACUAAUAACUGGAUAUGACUCCAUGACGCAUGUUGUGGGGUGGAAAGCCUUGUGCGGCUGAGGAUGGGCCCGCGGCCUAUCAGCUUGUUGGUGGGGUGAUGGCCUACCAAGGCGACGACGGGUAGCCGGCCUGAGAGGGCGACCGGCCACACUGGGACUGAGACACGGCCCAGACUCCUACGGGAGGGCAGCAGUGGGGAAUCUUGCGCAAUGGGCGAAAGCCUGACGCAGCGACGCCGCGUGAGGGAUGACGGCCU